GGACCCGUAGCUUAACUGAAUAGAGCAUCUGACUACGGAUCAGAAGGUUGGGGGUUUGAAUCCCUCCGGGUCCG
This 74-nucleotide transfer RNA is filed under the name Bacteroidia bacterium. RNAcentral's name for it is "tRNA-Arg". It matches the Rfam family "tRNA". Rfam says of the family: Transfer RNA (tRNA) molecules are approximately 80 nucleotides in length. Their secondary structure includes four short double-helical elements and three loops (D, anti-codon, and T loops). Lineage: Bacteria; Pseudomonadati; Bacteroidota; Bacteroidia. The record is from RNAcentral.